This 91-nucleotide small nuclear RNA is filed under the name Olea europaea subsp. europaea. Lineage: Eukaryota; Viridiplantae; Streptophyta; Magnoliopsida; Lamiales; Oleaceae. The record is from RNAcentral.
GUCCCUUCGGGGACAUCCAAUAAAAUCGGAACGAUACAGAGAAGAUUAGCAUGGAAUGACACGCAAAAAUCGAGAAAUGGUCUUAAUUUUU